Molecule: microRNA, 20 nt
Filed under: Ciona intestinalis (vase tunicate)
Lineage: Eukaryota; Metazoa; Chordata; Ascidiacea; Phlebobranchia; Cionidae
Description: cin-miR-4140-3p
Source: miRBase by way of RNAcentral
ACCAGAUGAUUAUGACGACG